GGUUAAGCGACUAAGCGUACACGGUGGAUGCCCUGGCAGUCAGAGGCGAUGAAGGACGUGCUAAUCUGCGAUAAGCGUCGGUGAGGUGAUAUGAACCGUUAUAACCGGCGAUUUCCGAAUGGGGAAACCCAGUGUGUUUCGACACACUAUCAUUAACUGAAUCCAUAGGUUAAUGAGGCGAACCGGGGGAACUGAAACAUCUAAGUACCCCGAGGAAAAGAAAUCAACCGAGAUUCCCCCAGUAGCGGCGAGCGAACGGGGAGGAGCCCAGAGCCUGAAUCAGUGUGUGUGUUAGUGGAAGCGUCUGGAAAGGCGUGCGAUACAGGGUGACAGCCCCGUACACAAAAAUGCACAUAUUGUGAGCUCGAUGAGUAGGGCGGGACACGUGGUAUCCUGUCUGAAUAUGGGGGGACCAUCCUCCAAGGCUAAAUACUCCUGACUGACCGAUAGUGAACCAGUACCGUGAGGGAAAGGCGAAAAGAACCCCGGCGAGGGGAGUGAAAAAGAACCUGAAACCGUGUACGUACAAGCAGUGGGAGCCUCUUUAUGGGGUGACUGCGUACCUUUUGUAUAAUGGGUCAGCGACUUAUAUUCUGUAGCAAGGUUAACCGAAUAGGGGAGCCGAAGGGAAACCGAGUCUUAACUGGGCGUUAAGUUGCAGGGUAUAGACCCGAAACCCGGUGAUCUAGCCAUGGGCAGGUUGAAGGUUGGGUAACACUAACUGGAGGACCGAACCGACUAAUGUUGAAAAAUUAGCGGAUGACUUGUGGCUGGGGGUGAAAGGCCAAUCAAACCGGGAGAUAGCUGGUUCUCCCCGAAAGCUAUUUAGGUAGCGCCUCGUGAAUUCAUCUCCGGGGGUAGAGCACUGUUUCGGCAAGGGGGUCAUCCCGACUUACCAACCCGAUGCAAACUGCGAAUACCGGAGAAUGUUAUCACGGGAGACACACGGCGGGUGCUAACGUCCGUCGUGAAGAGGGAAACAACCCAGACCGCCAGCUAAGGUCCCAAAGUCAUGGUUAAGUGGGAAACGAUGUGGGAAGGCCCAGACAGCCAGGAUGUUGGCUUAGAAGCAGCCAUCAUUUAAAGAAAGCGUAAUAGCUCACUGGUCGAGUCGGCCUGCGCGGAAGAUGUAACGGGGCUAAACCAUGCACCGAAGCUGCGGCAGCGACACUAUGUGUUGUUGGGUAGGGGAGCGUUCUGUAAGCCUGUGAAGGUGGCCUGUGAGGGUUGCUGGAGGUAUCAGAAGUGCGAAUGCUGACAUAAGUAACGAUAAAGCGGGUGAAAAGCCCGCUCGCCGGAAGACCAAGGGUUCCUGUCCAACGUUAAUCGGGGCAGGGUGAGUCGACCCCUAAGGCGAGGCCGAAAGGCGUAGUCGAUGGGAAACAGGUUAAUAUUCCUGUACUUGGUGUUACUGCGAAGGGGGGACGGAGAAGGCUAUGUUGGCCGGGCGACGGUUGUCCCGGUUUAAGCGUGUAGGCUGGUUUUCCAGGCAAAUCCGGAAAACCAAGGCUGAGGCGUGAUGACGAGGCACUACGGUGCUGAAGCGACAAAUGCCCUGCUUCCAGGAAAAGCCUCUAAGCAUCAGGUAACAUCAAAUCGUACCCCAAACCGACACAGGUGGUCAGGUAGAGAAUACCAAGGCGCUUGAGAGAACUCGGGUGAAGGAACUAGGCAAAAUGGUGCCGUAACUUCGGGAGAAGGCACGCUGAUAUGUAGGUGAAGCGACUUGCUCGUGGAGCUGAAAUCAGUCGAAGAUACCAGCUGGCUGCAACUGUUUAUUAAAAACACAGCACUGUGCAAACACGAAAGUGGAUGUAUACGGUGUGACGCCUGCCCGGUGCCGGAAGGUUAAUUGAUGGGGUUAGCGGUAACGCGAAGCUCUUGAUCGAAGCCCCGGUAAACGGCGGCCGUAACUAUAACGGUCCUAAGGUAGCGAAAUUCCUUGUCGGGUAAGUUCCGACCUGCACGAAUGGCGUAAUGAUGGCCAGGCUGUCUCCACCCGAGACUCAGUGAAAUUGAACUCGCUGUGAAGAUGCAGUGUACCCGCGGCAAGACGGAAAGACCCCGUGAACCUUUACUAUAGCUUGACACUGAACAUUGAGCCUUGAUGUGUAGGAUAGGUGGGAGGCUUUGAAGUGUGGACGCCAGUCUGCAUGGAGCCGACCUUGAAAUACCACCCUUUAAUGUUUGAUGUUCUAACGUUGGCCCGUAAUCCGGGUUGCGGACAGUGUCUGGUGGGUAGUUUGACUGGGGCGGUCUCCUCCUAAAGAGUAACGGAGGAGCACGAAGGUUGGCUAAUCCUGGUCGGACAUCAGGAGGUUAGUGCAAUGGCAUAAGCCAGCUUGACUGCGAGCGUGACGGCGCGAGCAGGUGCGAAAGCAGGUUAUAGUGAUCCGGUGGUUCUGAAUGGAAGGGCCAUCGCUCAACGGAUAAAAGGUACUCCGGGGAUAACAGGCUGAUACCGCCCAAGAGUUCAUAUCGACGGCGGUGUUUGGCACCUCGAUGUCGGCUCAUCACAUCCUGGGGCUGAAGUAGGUCCCAAGGGUAUGGCUGUUCGCCAUUUAAAGUGGUACGCGAGCUGGGUUUAGAACGUCGUGAGACAGUUCGGUCCCUAUCUGCCGUGGGCGCUGGAGAACUGAGGGGGGCUGCUCCUAGUACGAGAGGACCGGAGUGGACGCAUCACUGGUGUUCGGGUUGUCAUGCCAAUGGCACUGCCCGGUAGCUAAAUGCGGAAGAGAUAAGUGCUGAAAGCAUCUAAGCACGAAACUUGCCCCGAGAUGAGUUCUCCCUGAGACUUAGAGUCUCCUGAAGGAACGUUGAAGACGACGACGUUGAUAGGCCGGGUGUGUAAGCGCAGCGAUGCGUUGAGCUAACCGGUACUAAUGAACCGUGAGGCUUAACCUU
Molecule: ribosomal RNA, 2904 nt
Filed under: Escherichia coli
Lineage: Bacteria; Pseudomonadati; Pseudomonadota; Gammaproteobacteria; Enterobacterales; Enterobacteriaceae
Description: 23S ribosomal RNA
Rfam family: Bacterial large subunit ribosomal RNA
Source: RNAcentral